CCAUGUCAGAGGGGAAUGUGGACAGCGGGAGACCAUGCAAUGUAGAGUUGUAUCUGAUUGGCUGUAAUAAAGAUCUGAUGACCAUGAGCUGGGCAGAAAGUGGAUGGUGGAUUUUCCAGGCUCCAGAGAGAUGCUGAGAAGAUAAUAAGAGAAAUCCUGAAGGAUGAGAUUGGAGCCAACUCACAGCUGAGCAGGAGGAGUUGUGGUGCAGGAUGGCAUAGUGGAAUGUGGAGAAGUAAAGCAAAUCCAAGAAAGGCCUGUGAUCCAAGAUCAACAAAUAGAGGACACCACUGGAGACCCAGGAGACAUCUAGAGAAAGGCCAUGUCGGGUGGCUCCAGGUGAGCUGUCUGUUUCUACUCCAGUCCAUAGUGGGAGUAGGAGAUGGCAGCCAGCCCUUGGAGCUGGAGGGCUAUUGGUCUGGAGCUGCUGAGGGUCGUUUCAGCAUGUCCUGUAAGUGUGAGCAUCGGCAGGAGCAGAAGCACAGCUCUGAGAUGUCAUCCAAGCAGCCUGGGGAGUUCCGUUAGUCAUUUACUUAGCAUCCUCAAAAGAACUCUAUCAGAAGAGUCUUCUCUUCUGGAAAAGUGUGGAGAAGACAUGGUCAGGAGAAAGGCUGAGUCAUUCUCUUUUCCUCCUCAACACCAGUGUUCUGAAAAGAAGCUCUCCAGGACAGUGAUGCAAUGAGCUGUUCUGCUGAAGUGAAGUCUACUGUGAAGUCACAGGCUCACCUUGUCAGAAAAUGUUGAUUGCUUCUACCACUGGGGACAGACAGUUGACUUGGGUAAAUCCACCAGCCAUCAGGAGUAAGAGAGAGGAGGCAAAAUUGAACAAGACAAUUCAACAAUUUACCAUAAUCACUGAAGAGAACUACUUGAGCAAAAUUUACUAUAAUUUUGGAAAAACUUCAAAGCUAUUCCACAAUUGAGAGAGUUAUUUCCCCAUUUCCUUUAAACU
Molecule: long non-coding RNA, 952 nt
Organism: Mastomys coucha (southern multimammate mouse)
Lineage: Eukaryota; Metazoa; Chordata; Mammalia; Rodentia; Muridae
Exons: 8
Source: RefSeq, a predicted model, not a curated record